GGUAGAGGAAAAAUAGAGUUAAAUAGUUCAUAAUUUGAUCCUUGCAAAUAUAAGGUAAAAAAAUUGUCAAAAAUAGAGUUAAAUCGUUCAUAAUUUGGUCCUGCAAAUAUGAGGUAAAAAAAUUAUCAAAAAUAGAGUAAUCCAUCGAAUCGUUUUUAUGUUAUUAAGGGAUUCAUUUAAAAUAUUCGGAUUGGGGUCAUUGGCUUGUAUGCUUAUAAUAUUCAAAUUAGAAUGUGCAGCUUGUAAGAGAUUGUGUAUAGAAUUUCUUUUGCCUUUUUAUGAUUAUAGAUGAUUUUGUUUUAUAUGAUUAAAAUUGAUUAUUUGUAUUUGCUUCAUCACAUGACCUUUAAGGUUUGUGAUAACAAAGCGACUGUUGGUUAACUUUAUGGUUGUGAAAUUCUACUUGGUAUUCUCUGUAUUCAUCGUAAGAUUGUACUAAAGAGUAGCCCCUUUCCAUGGAUAUCUACUAACGCGACUAAGUAACCUAAGUAAUUC
This 495-nucleotide long non-coding RNA is filed under the name Setaria viridis. RNAcentral describes it as "long non-coding RNA (SVIR_LNC000392)". The record is from RNAcentral. Lineage: Eukaryota; Viridiplantae; Streptophyta; Magnoliopsida; Poales; Poaceae.